RNAcentral lists this ribosomal RNA (1184 nucleotides) under uncultured Halomonas sp. RNAcentral describes it as "bacterial SSU rRNA". It matches the Rfam family "Bacterial small subunit ribosomal RNA", at positions 81 to 1262 of the family's 1533-position model. Lineage: Bacteria; Pseudomonadati; Pseudomonadota; Gammaproteobacteria; Oceanospirillales; Halomonadaceae. The record is from RNAcentral.
UACCCGCUGACGAGCGGCGGACGGGUGAGUAAUGCAUAGGAAUCUGCCCGAUAGUGGGGGAUAACCUGGGGAAACCCAGGCUAAUACCGCAUACGUCCUACGGGAGAAAGGGGGCUCCGGCUCCCGCUAUUGGAUGAGCCUAUGUCGGAUUAGCUAGUUGGUGAGGUAAAGGCUCACCAAGGCGACGAUCCGUAGCUGGUCUGAGAGGAUGAUCAGCCACAUCGGGACUGAGACACGGCCCGAACUCCUACGGGAGGCAGCAGUGGGGAAUAUUGGACAAUGGGCGAAAGCCUGAUCCAGCCAUGCCGCGUGUGUGAAGAAGGCCCUCGGGUUGUAAAGCACUUUCAGCGAGGAAGAACGCCUAGUGGUUAAUACCCAUUAGGAAAGACAUCACUCCGCAGAAGAAGCACCGGCUAACUCCGUGCCAGCAGCCGCGGUAAUACGGAGGGUGCAAGCGUUAAUCGGAAUUACUGGGCGUAAAGCGCGCGUAGGUGGCUUGAUAAGCCGGUUGUGAAAGCCCCGGGCUCAACCUGGGAACGGCAUCCGGAACUGUCAAGCUAGAGUGCAGGAGAGGAAGGUAGAAUUCCCGGUGUAGCGGUGAAAUGCGUAGAGAUCGGGAGGAAUACCAGUGGCGAAGGCGGCCUUCUGGACUGACACUGACACUGAGGUGCGAAAGCGUGGGUAGCAAACAGGAUUAGAUACCCUGGUAGUCCACGCCGUAAACGAUGUCGACCAGCCCGUUGGGUGCCUAGCGCACUUUGUGGCGAAGUUAACGCGAUAAGUCGACCGCCUGGGGGAGUACGGGCCGCAAGGUUAAAACUCAAAUGAAUUUGACGGGGGGCCCGCACAAGCGGUGGAGCAUGUGGUUUAAUUCGAUGCAACGCGAAGAACCUUACCUACUCUUGACAUCCUGCGAACUUGUGAGAGAUCACUUGGUGCCUUCGGGAACGCAGAGACAGGUGCUGCAUGGCUGUCGUCAGCUCGUGUUGUGAAAUGUUGGGUUAAGUCCCGUAACGAGCGCAACCCUUGUCCUUAUUUGCCAGCGCGUAAUGGCGGGAACUCUAAGGAGACUGCCGGUGACAAACCGGAGGAAGGUGGGGACGACGUCAAGUCAUCAUGGCCCUUACGAGUAGGGCUACACACGUGCUACAAUGGCCGGUACAAAGGGUUGCGAGCUCGCGAGA